CCUACGGGUGGCUGCAGUAAGGAAUAUUGGUCAAUGGACGAAAGUCUGAACCAGCCAUGCCGCGUGGAGGAUGAAGGUCCUCUGGAUUGUAAACUUCUUUUAUAUGGGACGAAAAAAGGCCUUUCUAGGCCGUCUGACGGUACCAUAUGAAUAAGCACCGGCUACCUCCGUGCCAGCAGCCGCGGUACUACGGGGGGUGCCAGCGUUACCCGGAUUCACUGGGUUGAAGGUGUGUUUAUAAGGCAGGGUUGAAAUCUCCGAGCUUAACUUGGAAACUGCCAUUGAUACUAUUAAUCUUGAAUAUUGUGGAGGUUAGCGGAAUAUGUCAUGUAGCGGUGAAAUGCUUAGAUAUGACAUAGAACACCAAUUGCGAAGGCAGCUGGCUACACAUAUAUUGACACUGAGGCACGAAAGCGUGGGGAUCAAACAGGAUUAGAUACCCCUGUAGUC
Molecule: ribosomal RNA, 450 nt
Filed under: uncultured bacterium
Lineage: Bacteria
Description: partial 16S ribosomal RNA
Rfam family: Bacterial small subunit ribosomal RNA
Source: RNAcentral